CAUGACCAAAGAAUACCACAUUUACAUAAAAUCUGAUGGGAGGAUUAGUAUGGCAGGUCUUAGCUCCAGUACCGUCCCCCAUCUUGCUAAUGUUAUACAUGUUGCAGUCACCCGUGCCUCUUAGAAAGCAAAUUUCAAAGUUAUGUACCAACUAUCUAUUGCAUUUUGGCUUUUAGCCCCAUCUAUUUCAUGACUGUUU
Hibiscus syriacus is the source of this 199-nucleotide long non-coding RNA. RefSeq lists it as uncharacterized. The transcript has 3 exons. The record is from RefSeq and is a predicted model, not a curated record. NCBI's taxonomy places the organism in Eukaryota, Viridiplantae, Streptophyta, Magnoliopsida, Malvales, Malvaceae.